Molecule: long non-coding RNA, 630 nt
Filed under: Triticum aestivum (bread wheat)
Lineage: Eukaryota; Viridiplantae; Streptophyta; Magnoliopsida; Poales; Poaceae
Description: long non-coding RNA (TAES_LNC001063)
Source: RNAcentral
UCCGCGGCUGGGCGCCAGGGCAGUUGGGAAUCAAACGAAGAGGUCAAGGGGAACCACAACGGUGAGACGCGACGCUAAGGAGUAAGACGGCCGGAUCUGGAGCUUAAGGCCCUUCACCGCGCUUGUGUUCGUCAGAUUGCAAGGUCAGUCUACUCUGACCAAUCUCGCCCAAUUAUCUGUACUCCCUCAAUUAUCUGCCAAGUACUCCUGUUGAAAUGAGGAAUCAUCUUGAUCCUACAGAUUACCAUCCUCUCGAUUGUGGCCUGGCGGAAAUCAUCUGGAUCCGGCUAGUUUGUACUUAGGCACUAGUGUUGCUCUGCUCUUUUUCCUUGUGAUGCUUGAGUACUGAAGAAAUUGUUUGGAUAAUAUGCACUUUUCUUUUGCUUAUGCUCUUCUGAGAUUGGCUAGUUACUGUUUGGGGAGUAGAUGUAGUGUGUCGUAAUUUGCAAGUGAAUCACUGUGUAUAUCAGUGCUAAAUACAGUUACAAGCACAAUCCUACUAAUGCUUGUACACUGAAACAAUUGGUCAUCUCAAGGUCAAAUAUCAAGAAGAGCUUCUUGUCAUUAGUCAAAAUUUUCAUCAUCUCAAGGUCAAAUUUUAGAGUACUUGGUCUGACAUUUACUUUGUCU